GCUGAACAAAGGGGGAGGAACCCGGCCUUAGAGCUCCCUCUGCCCGCCCACACGGCUCCUCUAGCUUCCUCUCUGAUUGGUGGAGCGCAAUUUCUACCGGCAGAAAGGAGGGGCUAAUAACUGGUUCCUUGUACAGGGCCUACUGCAUUGCUAUUUUUAGUCAUGUCCGAUUCAUAGACCUCUUUGGGGGUUUUCUUGUCUGAGGUCGGAUUUGAACCUGUCUUCCUGACUCCAGGACACUUUAUCCACUGCGCCACCUAGCUGCCCCCGGUACAUGGCUACACUCUGGACUUCCUCUACCAUAACCCAGAUCUUCAUCCUGAAGCCUCAGGCCAGCCCUGGAAUUAAAACUUUGGAAAAACCCUCCAUCUCUGUGACCUGCUCCUCAGAUUGGAUAGCUUCUCCCAGAACCUCCAUUUAAAGAGAGCACCCAGGCUACUUUCACAGUUGCAUUCCAGACUUUUCCUACCAUGCCUCUUCAAAAGAGGGAAACACCUAGGAAUCAUAACUGUAAAAGUGAACAGAAUGAAUUCACCCAUAAAACAAAAGAGGAAAGCAGAAAGUAUUAAAAGCCAGAAUCCUACAAUAUUAUGUCCACAAGAACCAUAUUUAAAGCAGGGAGACACACACCACAAGAAGUAAAGGUAAAGUGCUAGAAUAAAAUACUAUAGUAUAGUAUUGGUCAAAGUUAAAAAAGCAAGGGUAGCAAUUAUGAUCUGACUAGUUGUAAUGGAAUAUUAUUAUGCCAUAAGAAAUUACAAACAAGAUGAUCACAAAAAGGUAAAGUGAUCAGCACAAUAAUCAACCAUGAUUUCAGAAUACUAAGAAUGAAGUAUAUUACCCACAUCCUAGCAGAGAGGUAAUGGCCAUAAUAUGCAGAAAGAGAAAUACAUUUUUAUAUAGAACCAAUGUGGGAAUUUGUUUUGCUUCUCCAUGUAUAUUUAUUACAAAGUAUUGUUGUUGUUGUUGUUUUCAGUAAGAGAGAGAAGUGGAAGGACAAGAAUAAUAAUGAUAGCUAGCAUUUAUAUAAUGCCUACUAUGUGCCAGUCACUAUUCUAAUUCCAUACAAAUAUUAUCUUAUUUGAGCAAAAAAUUGCUUGAGAAUUGAGAAAUAAUUAAGAAAAUAAUUGCCUCAUAAUUAAAAAAUAAAAUUUAAUUUAAAAAAAUAGCACCUUUCCUUAUUCCAUCACUGACUAGUGAAUAUACUAUCAUUAACUCUGACCUGAAAAACAAUCCCUUCAUGAAUUUGAAUUAAUUUCUUAGGGUCAUGUUUGAAGAAGGUUGACAAUCAAUUCUUUAGCUCUGUUGGAGAAAAGAGGACCCAGGAGAAAUGCCAAGUUUAGGAAUAGAGUUGAUGGCACAGACUGAAGCUAAGCCUUGUACUUUAUCUCUCAGGAACUAGGGCAAGGACAGAGGGUCCAGUGGCAGGAAAACCAGUUAUCUUUGUCAUUCUUUUCUCUUUGUGGAGAAAUUGUACUCUUCACUCUCUCUAGCUAUUCUUCCAACUACAGCCUCAUCAGCAGUCCCUUCCCAAAUAUUAUCAUUGACAUCAGAACCUUUUCUAAGUUUAGAUUUCAUUCAGAGAUUGUUCUCAAACCAAUACCUGAAAUUCUGGGGAGAAGCCAGCCUUGACCAGAUAUAGGGAGCAAAGUGGGGAAUAACUAAUUAUGGGUGAGGAAGUCAAUGCAGACAGAACAGGAAAAGAAAUGGAAUUAAAAUAUCUUCUCAGAUAAUGCCAUGGAGCUUCAAAGUAACUCUGGGAGUAAAGGGAACAGAAGUUAAGAGAAUACAUGCUUCCUAUAUUGAACCUACUAAAAGGAACAAAAACAAACAAAAAUCCUAAUUUGGGGAGGGGGGGGAGACAAUACUAAAGACCUGUCUAUUAUUUACUAGGAACACUUCUAGAAACCUUUCAAAGAUACACACAGAACAAAAAUGAAAUGCUACAACAAAAUUUGUCCUGUAUCAAGUAUAUCUAAAAGAGCAGAAGUUGCCAUUAUGCUAUCAGAAAAAAGCAAAGACAAAAACUCAUACAUAGAUUGACAAAGAAAUUAAAUAGAUCUAAAAGGGAUCACAAGCAACAAGCCAAUGUAAUAUUAAAUUUUUAUGCUCCAAAUGGCAGAACAUCUAAAUUCAUAAUGGAAAAAUUAACUAAAUUACUAAAAACAUAUAGUGACACAAUAAUAGUAGGGAACUUUAUUAUUCUUUUCUCAGAGUUGAACAUAUCUAAUAGAAACAGAAACAAAAGGGAAAAUAUUGGUAGAACAAAUUUCUAAUGUAAAAUUGAAAAUUGAUUUUAAUUCCAUUUUUAAGACUUAGCCAUGCUGGCAUUUCUUUCAAAACUGGGUUAGUUUAAAUUCCUUACCCUUGUCACUUUACCCUUCAUCUACAUUCGAAAGAAACUUGCCUAAAGGUCAAGCUUUUGUCUUGUAAUUACCUCUACCCUUAACUCAAAAUAUGUUCUCAUUUGAGCCUCAAUUCUGUUGUCUUAGUUUGCAUCUCCACCUAAGUAUUAUCACCUCAAGUUGACUCAUUUAAGACCAUUGCAGACUACACCCACAUCUGAAGACUAAACCUAUAACCUGAGGUUUACUCCUCUUUUCCAACUAGGAUGUAAUGAGGACUGAGGCGACUCAACUCACUUAUUAAAGUGUCUACAAGCAAUCUUACCUUUAUUUUAUGUCAGGCCAAUUAUAAGGAAGACACACUUAGAUUUAGAAGACCUUGUCAGCACUCAUGCAGGGUCUUUGGUCAUUAAGAGAGGCCACUGACUCAAUUGGUACUGGUAGUCUAUCAUUUUACCUUGAUUUUCAGACAUACCAUUAGAGACUAACAACCUUGUUUAUAAAACCCCUUUCCUUCAAGAAACUUUCAGACUAAACAAUAGGCCAUCAAGCAUCCAUUGAGCACCCUUCCCAAAGUCUCAGAGCUUAGCUCUGAGUGGUUUUGCUUGUGUGUAUGCCUACGCGGUUGCCAUAAGAGCAUUGUCUUUUUUGUCCAAAUUAAAGACCUGAUCUUUUGUAACUGCUUUGGUGGUUCUGUGUUUUUCUAGGUUGACAUAUUUGGAAGUUCCACUGAGAUUACAAGUUGUUACUGACUGAACCACCUGCUAAAGUGAUCCUAGAUGUGUGAUAUCCAUAAGAAUCUAUUGAGUUCCAGUUUGGACUCAAUUUGGCAAGUUGAGUGAAACUCUCAACAACAAAUUCAUGUAUUUGAGAAACUGAACUACUCUUUAACCAGGAGUUUGUUGAACAAUGGGCAAUUAUAGAGAUAUGCCUGCCCCAGCAAGUACUGAGGAAGAGAUUGCUGUUGGAUGUAUAUUCUCAAUUGUAGAUCAGACAACCUGUAAGUGUUGAGAUAAUUAACUGGCAAAAGUUACCUAAUUUGACCCUAAGCACUUUUUGCCAAAUUUGUAUCUGUUAAGCCUGGAGGUAUUCUAGGUUAUUAAACCCUAAUAUGUUUAAUCUAAGAAUGGGUAACUGCUUUGGACAAAUUAAAUGGAGGAAAGUUCCUCAUGGUAUAAAAUGCUAUAACUUAAGGGUUUUUUUGUGGUAUAAUGGUUAUAAUUUUUUUUUAAAGCUUCUUAUGGAAGCUUAAAACUGAAGUUUUGAGCUAUAUUUAGUCUAUAUUGUAUUUCUUAGAUGAACAUUUCUCUAUCAUGACCUUAAAUGCUUGCAGUUUAAAUGUCAGCUACUAAUGUUUGAAAUGGUACUCACUGUUGAUUCCCCAAAAGCCUGAGAAUAUAGAACUUGUCAACCUGGAGAAAACACAGAACCACUAAAGUAGUCAGUAAAACCCAGUCUUUAAACAGGAAAGAGAUAGUGCUCAAUAUUUGACUGCCACAGAGUCAAAUGUCUAAAAACCACAAAGAGUCCAGGGCCCUGGAAACAGUAUCUCUGAGAAGGUCACCUCAGAGAGGAUUCUCCAAAGAAUAAUAGAACACAAGGUUUUUAUAUACCCUUUGGAGGAAUUAAGUACAUUAAACAUACACUGAUAGGUUGUUAGCAGGCUUGGGAAAAAGGCAGCAGCCAGAGACUGGGGUGUCAUGGAGUGAUCUACUACAAUGGAUACUAAAAGGAUGGUUCCUGCAUAGUUGUUGGUCUUUUGGGAACAAAUCUCUGAUACAACAGGGAAAACUAAGACUAAAAGGAUACUUAACAUUUGAUUAUAUCUACUAGUCCCACCUAAGCUAGGAUUAUUAAGUACUUUAAGGUCUAUUGUUCAGUCUGAAAUGGGUCAGUCUGGGAUUUCUCUCUGAGUGUGUUCUCGGGGGACAAGGGCAAACUUGGGGUUCCCAAAAACCCAGUUGACAAACUUGUGAUCCAGGUAUCAUUCAUGACAUUAUAUUUUAUUGUUUUCCUUUAAGAAAAUGAAAGGAACACUAAUUAUAAUAAUUGGUUGAAUUUGUAUAAGCCUCCAUUUUUCCAGAGGUUUCUGAUACAUAAGAGGUAAUCCUUUGAACUAAGAACAAUCCUAGGAAGCUUUUUUUAAUAAGAGGAUCAUUAUCUCACCAGGAAGGGUUCCAGAGAUUUCCUAAGAUAACUGUCAUCAUCCUAACUUCUUGAGUUGCAAAAAGUCUGUAAAAAUAGACUCGAAUCCAGGACUUCAAUCCCCAGAAACCCUUGUUCCACUUCCCCAGAAUGCCCUCUAAUAUCACUGAAUUCUCACCUGGGCCGAGAGCGAGAUGGGGUAUUUAAACUUGGUUGUGAAUAAGCUUGGCCCUCUUUUUACUUUCCGCUUCAGAGCACACGCGGCUCUCCACCUAGCAGGCAAGAUGUGAGUGGUGGUGUCUAGGCCUCUCUCUGGCCUAGACACGUGCUUUUCUUACUUGUAUAUUCUUAGGUUCUCAAUCUUACCUCUAAAAAUAAUACUCCUUGCAGAGAGAAACUAAUUUAUAUCUUGCCUAAGUCUCCCCUAAAUUUUAAUCUUUACAAGUCUCUCCAAGGAACAGACAAGAAAUAUUUGGGAAAAUGCUUGGUGAUGAUUUGAGAAAAAGCUGGAAAUAUCUGUAGGAACUGAUGCAGAGUUAAAUAAGCAGAACUGGGAGAACAUCAUACACAGUAACAGCAAUAUUAUAUGAGGAUCAACUGUGAAAACUUGGCCACUCUCAGCAAUGCAAUGAUCUGGGAUAAUCCUGAAAGACAUAUGAUGGAGAAUGCUAUCCACCUCCAGAGAAAGAACUGUUGGAGUCAGACAGAUGUGAAUCAAAGCAUAAUAUCUUUUACAUCAGUGUAUUGUAACAUUUAAAAGUGUGGUAGCCAUAAACUGUUAGAAUUAAAAGAGUGUUUUUCUUAAAUUGUGACUGCAGAAAUAUGGUUUCAAGAUAUUGUCUUGAGUUAAAUCAAAUAUAAAGUGGUCGCCAGGGAAAAAUUCCCAAAUAUGAAAUAUACCCAAGUCAGCUGGGUUUUUAUGGAAAUUUUAAUUAAUACAAAUUUAGGAAUUAAUGAAAGAGAGAGAGUAAGAGGAAACAAUGAGAAAAGGGCUGGGCCAGCCCAGGCCAGCCUAGGCCCAAGCCCUAAGAGAGAGAUAUGUCAGUCUUUUAUCAACUUGCCACAACUCACAACUCGCCACAAGAUUUGUCCAAGCAAGACUCUAGUGUUCAGAAACUCACCAGUUCAGCUUUGGCCAGCUCCAUCUCCAGAAAGAGUUCUCUGAGAGAGAGUCCCUUGCUCUCAGCUUCUCAUCUCCUUUUAAAGAGAAUUUUCUCCUUUGUCACCUCCCUUAAGUUCUCACAUCUACCAAUCACAGUAGAUGUUUUCCAAAAGACAGACCAUUCUUAAUUCACACCUGAGUAGACUAAACUUUUUAGUAAUUCACACCUGAAAAAACCUCUGAGUAAGUUCUCACCUCUUUGCCACUUGCAAAUUUACAAGUUGCCUGACCUUCAUGGGUACUUAGCACCUUCCUAAAAAUAGACUUAGCUUAAGUAUGAGUUAAGUACUUUUUCAUUGUUCAAUAAAGAGUUUACAACUUUAUCUUCCCCUAAAGUAUGCUUAAGUAUGGGUGGAGUAGACUUCUCACAUUCCUAAGUCCUUUCAUUGUUUAAAGUGGGGAAUAGUCUUAACCAAGUGUUCUGAAGUAGGGUCUGAGAAUUUUUAAGAUUCACAGUAUUUAUAAUAAAAUUCGGGGUUUUGGUCUUAUAACAAUGACCAAUAUGGUAGUGUAUUUUGCAUGACAGUAAAAAGAAAAAAGAAAAAGAAAAUAUUUGGUGACUAAUGGUAAACAAACAAACAAAAAAACCCUGAGAGUUUUAAUUGAAUAGCCCAAGUUCCUCUUUGAGAAGCCUAAGACCAAUUGAGAGAUGUUUGGGGCAUAGCUGAUGUAAAUAUGAUCUUUUCUUGGAGAUAUGGAUGAGAGUGCAGUUUAAAAAAAAAAAGAACUAAAUCAGAAUCCCUGGGGCUCUAUUAUUUCAGUCAUUUCCUAGGGGAGUCAAAACUCCCAGAUAAGGUUACCUUCUACACCCUGAACCUGAAGAAGUCCAUUUAAGACCCCUGCUCAAGGAUACCCUACAGCCAAAUGGAAAGGAUUUCACCAAGUCUCCAGAGACUCCUAAUAGGGCUAAAUAUCCUCUCUCUUUUUUUUUUCUCCUUUCCAUUGUUCAUUAGAUUUCUUUCAAUCCAUGUCCCUGGUUCAGAUAAAGAAUAUGACUUUGUUAUUUCCCCCUGGGAUUUCUAGUGGUACUUACACUGAGUGAGAUCCCUUUUAAGAUGGGUAAUUAUUAUAAAAAUCAAAAAGAAAAAAGCUAAAAGUUUUCACAGCUAACUAAAGCAGGAAAGGUUCAACUCAGUUAUUUUUAUUGUUAUUGUUUAAUUGUUUAUUUUGUUUAGGUUUACUAUAAGUUAAUGUUGCAAGAGAGCUUUAAGGUUCUGGACAGGUUGCCCUUGUCAAGAAUGACAGAUUCCAAUAGCUAGCUUAAAAAAUAAAAGAGAUUUAUUACUUUGAAUGUAAGUCAAAUGGUUAAAUCAAAUGGGAUGGCUGAGGGAGGCAGAGUGGGGUGGAAUGUUGGCUCCUAGGGCCUUAUAUACCCUUUUGACAGGGCCUACAUAACUAGAGAUGGAUGAUGAUGGCAUGUUACUUGAUCUCUGGAAUCCAAGAUGGGCCAUGCGGUUAUGUCCUAUGCCUCAAAAUCAAAAGGGGGUGAACUGUUCUGUUUAGAGAAUAAUCAAAUAUCUGGGAUAUAAAAUAGAUGCUUAUCAGGAGCAGGUUGGGUGGUGCCUAUCUGUGCUCAUCAAGAAUGAGGAGAGAGGCCAGAGAGGAUCUUUUAUUUAGGUCAGUCACCUUCCCUAGCACUGCAGAAAUAUAAGAAAAAAAUGAGUCUAUUAUUUUAAAAUUACUUUAUUUUUAUUUUUAAAUUUAAAUUUUUAAACAUUUUUUAAAUAUUUAAUUUUUUAUUUUAAAAUUGAGUUGAAACUUCUCACUUCUCCUUGUGGAGAAUGAGUUACCAAUUCAACAUCCUUAUUUCCCCCUUCUGGAGAAUGAGAUUAUCAGUAUCUAAAAGCAACAUGACUUAAAAGGCUUAUAGUACUUUCUAAGUGGGGCCACUAAAGAAUAUACAUAUUUUAUUUUAAUUUAAUUUAAUUUUAUUUGGUCAUUUUCAAACAUUAUUCGUUGGAAACAAAGAUCAUUUUCUUCCCCCCCCCCCCCUCCCACCACCCCUCCAAUAGCCAAUGUGCGAUUCCACUGGGUAUCACAUGUGUCCUUGAUUCGAACCCAUUUCCAUGUUGUUGGUAUUUGCAUUAGGGUGUUCAUUUAGAGUCUCUCUUCAUAUCCCCUCAACCCCUGUAGUCAAGCAGUUGCUUUUCCUCGGUGUUUUUACUCCCAUAGUUUGUCCUCUGCUUGUGGAUAGUGUUUUUUUCUCCUAGAUCCCUGCAGAUUGUUCAGGGACAUUGCAUUGACACUAAUGGAGAAGUCCAUUACGUUCGAUUGUACCACAGUGUAUUAGUCUCUGUGUACAAUGUUCUCCUGGUUCUGCUCCUUUCACUCUGCAUCACUUCCUGGAGGUUGUUCCAGUCUCCAUGGAAUUCCUCUACUUUAUUAUUCCUUUUAGCACAAUAGUAUUCCAUCACCAACAUAUACCACAAUUUGUUCAGCCAUUCCCCAAUUGAAGGGCAUCCCCUCAUUUUCCAAUUUUUGGCCACCACAAAGAGCGCAGCUAUGAAUAUUCUGGUACAAGUCUUUUUCCUUAUUAUCUCUUUGGGGUACAAAGCCAAGUGCUAUGACUGGAUCAAAGGGCAGACAGUCUUUUAUCGCCCUUUGGGCAUAGUUCCAAAUUGCCCUCCAGAAUGGUUGGAUCAAUUCACAAUUCCACCAGCAAUGAAUUAAUGUCCCUACUUUGCCACAUCCCCUCCAGCAUUCAUUACUUUCCAUAGCUGUCAUGUUAGCCAAUCUGCUAGGUGUGAGGGGAUACCUCAGAGUUGUUUUGAUUUGCAUCUCUCUGAUUAUAAGAGAUUUAGAACACUUUUUCAUGUGGUUAUCAAUAGUUUUGAUUUCUUUAUCUGAAAACUGCCUAUUCAUGUCCCUUGCCCAUUUAUCAAUUGAGAAUGGCUUGAUUUUUUAUACAAUUGAUUUAGCUCUUUGUAAAUUUGAGUAAUUAAACCUUUGUCAGAGGUUUUUAUGAAGAUUGUUUCCCAAUUUGUUGCUUCCCUUCUGAUUUUAGUUACAUUGGUUUCGUUUGUACAAAACCUUUUUAAUUUGAUGUAGUCAAAAUUAUUUAUUUUACAUUUUGAGACUCUUUCUAAGUCUUGCUUGGUUUUAAAAUCUUUCCCUUCCUAAAGGUCUGACAUGUAUACUAUUCUGUGUUCACCUAAUUUACUUAUAGUUUCCUUCUUUAUGUUCAAGUCAUUCACCCAUUCUGAAUUUAUCUUGGUGUAAGGUGUGAGGUGUUGAUCCAAACCUAAUCUCUCCCACACUAUCUUCCAAUUUUUCCAGCAGUUUUUAUCAAAUAAUGGAUUUUUGUCCCAAAAGCUGGGGUCUUUGGGUUUGUCAUAAACUGUCUUGCUGAGAUCAUUUACGCCAAGUCUAUUCCACUGAUCCUCCUUUCUGUCUCUUAGCCAGUACCAAAUUGUUUUGAUAACAACUGCUUUACAGGAUAGUUUGAGAUCUAGGACUGAAAGUUCGCCUUCCUUUGCAUAUUUUUUCAUGAUUUCCCUGGAUAUCCUUGAUCUUUUGUUCUUCCAAAUGAACUUAGUUAUGGUUUUUUCUAAUUCAGUAAAGAAGUUUUUUGGUAGUUCAAUGGGUAUGGCACUAAAUAAGUAAAUUAAUUUGGGUAGGAUUAUCAUUUUUUAUUAUGUUAGCUCUUCCCACCCAUGAGCAAUCAAUGUUUUUUCAAUUGUUUAGAUCUAGUUUUAACUGUGUGGAGAGUGUUUUGUAGUUGUGUUCAUAUAGAACAGCGGUUCUCAACCUCUCAAUUUGUAGCAAUGAGAAUACAUAAUGCAUAUCAGGUAUUUACAUUCUGAAUCAUAACUGUAGCAAAAUUACAGUUUUGAAGUAGCCACCAAAAUAAUUUUUUGGUUUGGGGUCACUGCAACAUGAGAAACUGUAUUGCGGGGUCACAGUAUUAGAAAGGUUGAGAACCACUGAUAUAGAAUAUACAUAUUUUACAGAACUCUAAUGCACUUUACCAAAAACUAACCAUGUAUUGGGCACAAAGAAAGUGCAAGUAAAGAUAAAAUGGCAGAAAUACUAAAUAUAUGGUUUAUAGACCACAAUUCAAUUAAAAUAGUAAUCAAAUCAAAGAGCUUGAACAAAAAAACAGACUUAAAUGUUGACAAUAAUGAAAUCCUAAAUAACGAGUGGAUCAAAAAACAAAUCAUAACAACAGAUGUUAAUAAUAAUGAAACAAUAUCAAAAUUUCUAGAAUGCAGCUAACACAAUCCUCAAAGGAAAAAUGAUUCCCUAAAAUCACGCAUUAGCCAAAUAGAAAAUUAGGGAAAUAAUGAACUGAAUAUGCAUUUUUAAAUGUUAGAAACCCAACAAAUAAUCUCAAAUUUAGCAGAAAAUUGAAAAUUAGAGAAAUAAUAAAAGUCAAACCCACUGAGACAAUAUAUGUAUACAGAUACAUAUUUAUCACAUCCACAUAUAGGUUACCAUUUCAUAUCCAUAUAGAUAGUUAUAGACAUAUGACACACUUAAUAAAAUAUAAGCUUGCUAUUCAGGAACUCUUUUUUGUGGGGGAGGGAGGAGGUUCUGAAUACCUCCACAAAUCCUUCUGCAUUGUAGGUGCUUAAUUCAGUUUUACUGAACUGAACUGAGUGAACUAAUGAGAUGUCAAUCACUCACAGCCUGUCUCUUAGUUGUCUAUCUACAGUUAAAACAUAUGGAGAAUGGAACUAUGUCCAAGACUUUUCAACAUAUAAAACUUCUUUAUUCAAUCAGAUGAAAAUUGAAUAGAUCUCCACAAUAGGGCUCACUCCUGUGUAAUUAGCCCUCCUUUCUUUAGGGGCAUAGUAGAAUUCAAAUGCUACAAAAGUAAGGGGGCAUGCAGGUGGUUGAGGGUUAACAGUCACCAUCAUUUUUCAGCCAAUAUGCUUUUCAAAGGAAAUAUGUAGUCAUAUAGUCAUUAGUCAGGUUGCAUGUAUUAAAAGCAGCAAAAGACACUACAGAAAAUCAGAACCUUUAUCUAGGGAAAUGGAAUCUAGAUUUGCUAAUGACCUUUUAGUUCCUUUAGCACCAAGGUGGGGAGAAUAACUGCUUAAAAUACGGCUUUCCUUUAUGAGGUUAGCUGCACUGCAUAGUGAUUGGAGUCUCUGUCAAUCACCUUCAGCCCUACUCUCAACCCAACAGAAUUUGUCUUAGAAGUUGAUCUAAGUAUCUCUUUUGUGAAGCUUACCCAGAUAAACUGGGAAAUAGCUAAAUUCCCUAUUUAAAAAACAGAUGCUGAGAAAACAUCAAUUAAUCAAUCCAUCUACAAAUAUUUAAGUACCAGGAACUGUGUUGGGAGCUAGCCAAAGACAAGAGUAAAAAAACUUCUUGUCCUUGAAGAGCUUAUAAUCUAUUAAGGAAAUAACAUAUACAUUUAUCACUAUACCCCAAAUAGUUACCACAUAAUUUGUGUGUGUGUUGAGGAAGGAGGAAGUUGGGAAGGAUCAGGAAAGGCUUCGAGUAGAAAAUAAAAAGGGGCUUGAUUUAUAGGAAGCCAAGGAUUCUAAGAAUUUUCAGGUUUAAUUAAAAACAAGAUUUCUAAACAGUUUGUUGGCUUCUUUCUUUGCUUAACUCUUACAACUGGGAAAGAUUUUAUUUAAUUUAAUAAAAAUCUAUGUGCAAAGCAUUCAUGCAUUAGUUGCUGGGAGGUUCAAAUUAAAAAAAUUAACGGGCUCUGCCCUGAAGAAGCUUAUACUUUAUUGGAGGGUAACAUCAUGUCCUUAAGUAAAUAAAAGCAAAGUACAUACCAGAUAAUUUCAAGAGGAGGACACUUUCUGACUGAAAGAUGAUGAUGGACUCCAGAUGAAAAAUGAGAUAUUUUUGGAUGCAACCUAUAUGGGAAUUUGUUUUGUUUGAUUUGUCAUAUAGUACUAGUUACAAGGUUGGUUUUUUCCCUUUCUCACAUGGGACAGGAGACAAGGCAGAGAGAAUAUAAAUGCUUCUGAAUUAAAAAGAAUAAUACAUUUAAAAGAAGUUUCAAGAGAGUUCAUUAGGGAAAUCAGUAAAAACGUCUAAGAGGAAAUUUACCUGAAUUGUGUUUUGAAGGAAGCUAGGAAUUCUAGAGGUCAGAGAUGGUGAGGGGGAGGGGAGUCUGGACCCAUGAUGGUGAACCUAUGGCACGUAUGCCAAAGAUAGCAUGCAGACACCUCUCUGUGGGCACCUGUGCCUGGUCCUGGCUCUGCCCCUGCCCCUUCCCCCUGUGACCACAAAAAUGUGGGUUCAAGACUGUGAAUUGCCAAAACUGUAAAAAUAAUUUUAGUGGCUUGAUUUUAUAUCAAAAAUAAGUGGUUGCCAUGGGAAAAAUUCCCAAAUAUGAAAUACCCAAGUCAACUGGGUUUUAUGGAGAUUUUAAUUAAUACUAAUGAAGGAAUUAAGGGAAGGGAGAGAGACAGAGUACAAGGAAAUAGUAGGGAAAGGCCUAGGGCCUAGGCCUUUUCUUUAAGAGAGAAAACUAAGUCAGUCUUUUAUCCACUCACCACAAGAUUUUGUCCCAAGAAAAACUCCAACUAAGUUCAGAGGCCCAGUUACUCCAACUAGUCUGAGAUCCAAAUUCCUCUAAGUUGAGAGAGCCAGCUCCUUUUAAAGAGAAAUUUCUCUUAUGUCACCUCCCCUAAAUUUUCACAUCUACCAAUCACAGUAGACGUUUUCCACAGGACUGACCAUUCUUAAUUCACAUCUUCUUUUGUUAAUCACCUUCCCUGAGUAGACUAAAACUUCACACCUCUUGCUAAGCUUGCCCUUUGUAAGUUGCUUGACCUUUUAGUGAUUAAUUUAACCUUUAUAGGUACUUAGCACCCUUUUGUAUUAGAUCUAAAAAUAGACCUAGCUUAAGGUUUUGGCCUCACUAUAAAUAUGAGUUAGGGACUUUUUCAUUGUUCAGUAAGGAGUUUUACAACUUUAUCUUCCCCUAAAGUAUGCCUAAGUAUGGGUGGAGUAAUGUUAAAAUUCCCAAUACAUUCCUGAUCAAGUACCUCCAUUGUUUAAAUGGGGAAUAGCCUUAACCAAAUGUUCCAAGGUAGAGUCUGUGCAGUUUUAAGAUUCAUACCCCUGAAUGUAGGGGUAGGAGUACUGUAUCUCUGAGCAACCUCCCCACCAAGGCUUCUCCCAACUUCCCCACCAGACUUGGGCUGUUGCUCCCUUGCUCUUCCUGCUCCCUGGGGCGCCUGGAUGCAGGGGCUUAGGUCCCCAUGGCCACAGGUAGCAGCUUUCCCCUCUUUCCCCCACAUAAGCCAGCUGGGACCCUAUGCCCCAAUAUAGCAGGGCAAGCAUGACAUGAAAUCUGGGAGUGUGGGACACGGGCAUGGGGUCCCUAAAAGGUUCCAAAAGGUUCAUCAUCACUGGUCUAGACCCACUUUCACAAGAGACAAGAGUUGGAAUGUUGUCUAGGGAACUAGUUUCAUUGGAGAAAGAAAUUUCAGGAAGAACAGUAGCAGGAGACAAAAGGGCAAAGGAACAAAUGUUGGAGAGCAUGUGGCAAAAUUGGGACACUAAUACACUGCUAAUAGAAUUGUGAAUUAAUACAACCAUUCUGGAGGGCAAUUUGGAACUAUGCCCAAAGGGCUUUAAAAGACUGCCUUCCCUUUGAUCCAGCAAUACCACUGCUGGGUUUGUACCCCAAAGAGAUAAUAAGGGAAAAGACUUGUACAAAACUAUUUAUAGCCAGACUUUUUUUUUUAUUGGAAAGAACUACACAAGAUCAUGAACAAUGAAAUGAGUAGAGAACCACGAGGACAUUAUAUACAGCCUCAGAAUCAAUCCUGGAAGAAUAAACUGAAUGUUACCUCCAGAAAGUGAAAAGAAAGGUGACUUCUGAAAUAGUAAAUUAAUAAAUAUUUUAUAAAACAUUUUUUAAAGUAAAUUUUUAAAAAGGUAAUAGGAGUUAGGCCUAAAUAGGCAUGUGGGAGCUAGGAUAUAGAGGAUUUUAAAUACUAGGCUGAACAUUUUGAAUCCUAGAGGGAAUAUGAAGUCACUGAAAAUUCUUGGUUUUGUUUUUCUGUUGAAGAUUUUUGAACUGA
Non-coding RNA from Monodelphis domestica (gray short-tailed opossum), 13655 nucleotides. The record is from RefSeq and is a predicted model, not a curated record. NCBI's taxonomy places the organism in Eukaryota, Metazoa, Chordata, Mammalia, Didelphimorphia, Didelphidae.